Long non-coding RNA from Helicoverpa armigera (cotton bollworm), 1087 nucleotides. RefSeq lists it as uncharacterized. The record is from RefSeq and is a predicted model, not a curated record. The transcript has 3 exons. NCBI's taxonomy places the organism in Eukaryota, Metazoa, Arthropoda, Insecta, Lepidoptera, Noctuidae.
CUGAGUAUCCUGUAGCAGAGACGGAAGAUGUACUUAUAGGCGGCGUACCGAGGGUCGUACAACUCCUCAAUCUUCAGGAACGCUUCCCCUUCUGAUGUCUCUUGGAAUGGACCCUGGGAGAUGUUAACUUUAUGUCAUACCUGACGUAGCUGCUUUGAGGCACAGGCGCGUCGGAAUGAGUCAUGGUGGUGGGGUCUAACUCGAACAGCGUGGCGAUCUCCGAUGAGUGCGGGACUGACACCAACUGAAAGGCUGGCUCGUACGGCUCCACUGGCGCUUCACUGAUGGUACAAGGUACUUACAGUGAGGUAUUUGUUGGACUUGACGUGCAGCAGUUGUAGAACGCUGCCGUACUGCACGACAGUCCCCAGCAACUUCUUGUUCUCCAACUCAUUCUGCUUCUUCUCUAUCUCAGCGGCAUGCUGUCAACAGAAAAUGAACUCUAUUUACUAAAGCGUACAGAAGUUUUUAGCAAGGCAGUUUACUUGUUAGAUAACGUCAGAUAGAAGUAUGGAAUGCAAGACCCAAAUGAGAAUGGAAUAAGGGUAGGAAGAGUUUAAGGAGAGAUUGUACCUCUACAUACCUGUGUGUAGUUUGAAAUAGAAGCGUGUUUGUGGUUUGACAGGUCUAUCUUUAGACUACUUAAGAAUUAUUUUCAAAACAAUCACUGAAAACAAGCUUCAUAACAAACUGCACACAAAUUACAUAACUGCAUAACAAUUUACAAAACCAAUACCCAAAUAUUCAGUACUGAAAAUCAGUGUUAAACGGGACUAAAUACCAGGCUUAAUUUCGUCAAUAUCUCGGUGGAAACCAGUUAACCUGAUGAGCUCUCCAGUCAGUAAUCCGUGGGAUUUUAAUUAGUCUUCAUUUGUGGGAGCAAUCACGUUGAAUCCCGGAAUUGGGUCAAAUAGGCCAAUUUGUGUGCGUAUUGUAUGCUCUGUUGAAAGGAUUGGGUUAGAAUUGCCUACACAAAGUACCUGCUAUAACGUAGGAUAAGGGAUCUUUACAGAAAAAAACCUAACAUGGAAAAAAACCUAUAUUGCCGUGUAUAUUUUUUUUUCAGAGAAAAUGACGUAGGUAUAGC